AUACUUACCUGGCAGGGGAGAUACCAUGAUCAUGAAGAUGGUUUUCUUAGGGCGAGGUUUAUCAAUUGCACUCUGAAUGUGCUUAUCCCUGUGGUUUCUCAAGAUGUGGGAAACUCCACAGCAUAAUCUGUGGUAGUGGGGGACUGUGUUCAUGUUUUUCCCUG
Molecule: small nuclear RNA, 164 nt
Organism: Carlito syrichta (Philippine tarsier)
Lineage: Eukaryota; Metazoa; Chordata; Mammalia; Primates; Tarsiidae
Gene: U1
Rfam family: U1 spliceosomal RNA
About the family: U1 is a small nuclear RNA (snRNA) component of the spliceosome (involved in pre-mRNA splicing). Its 5' end forms complementary base pairs with the 5' splice junction, thus defining the 5' donor site of an intron.
Source: Ensembl